GGCUGUAGCUCAAUGGUCGAGCAUCUGCUUUGGGUACAGAAGGUCCUAGGUUCAAUCCCCAGCAUUAGCCU
Non-coding RNA from Podarcis lilfordi (Lilford's wall lizard), 71 nucleotides. The record is from the annotation of a GenBank genome assembly. NCBI's taxonomy places the organism in Eukaryota, Metazoa, Chordata, Lepidosauria, Squamata, Lacertidae.